RNAcentral lists this ribosomal RNA (200 nucleotides) under uncultured bacterium. Its description in RNAcentral is "partial 16S ribosomal RNA". It matches the Rfam family "Bacterial small subunit ribosomal RNA", at positions 30 to 236 of the family's 1533-position model. The record is from RNAcentral.
AUUGAACGCUGGCGGCAGGCCUAACACAUGCAAGUCGAGCGGGGUUUUCGGACCUAGCGGCGGACGGGUUGAGUAAUGCGUAGGAAGCUGCCCGGAUAGAGGGGGGGUUACCAGUUGGAAACCGACUGUUAAUACCGGCAUAAUGUCUACGGACCAAAGUGUGGGACCUUCGGGCCACAUGCUAUCGGAUGCGCCUACGU